UUAGAAUGGUGUACUGAAAACUGAUAAAAACCUGAGUAUGUACUUAUACCAAAAAAUUGCCCCCCAUUAGUUCAAGCAAAAACAAUAUUGUCCAGAAGUAUUUCUUCCUCAUCUUGGACAUUAUCAACCUCAGCUUCAAGGAAGCAGGAAAGCUUGGCAGGAUUUGGGCAAAGCACUGUAAGCCACCCUUUUUUAUAAGCCCCCCCCCCUGAUUAUAAACCACCGCAAAUUGAGCCUACACAUAAUUAUUUGAAUGAAUACGGUAAAGCCAUUCAGAAUUAUUGAAAUGUAAAAUUAUUAAAUUUCAGAUUUGGAUAUGGCUGCACGUCACAGGGCCCGUGCCUCAUCAAUUCAAUUAAUCAAAGUUGAGGUGAUUCCAGCAUCAAAAUGCAAGAGACCAAGCAUCACUCAAUUCCAUAACUCGAAGAUCAGAUUCCCACUGACUCACAGGGUUGUCAAAUCGCAGUUCAAAUCAACUUUUGUUGCCAAAAGACCUUCCACAUUCAUGUAAAAGAUUCUGUGAAUACAGAAGAAUGUGCUUCAAUAUUCAAA
Molecule: non-coding RNA, 552 nt
Organism: Rhopilema esculentum
Lineage: Eukaryota; Metazoa; Cnidaria; Scyphozoa; Rhizostomeae; Rhizostomatidae
Source: RefSeq, a predicted model, not a curated record